Molecule: ribosomal RNA, 512 nt
Filed under: uncultured bacterium
Lineage: Bacteria
Description: partial 16S ribosomal RNA
Rfam family: Bacterial small subunit ribosomal RNA
Source: RNAcentral
GAUGAACGCUGGCGGCGUGCCUAAUACAUGCAAGUCGAACGAAACUUCUUUAUCACCGAGUGCUUGCACUCACCGAUAAAGAGUUGAGUGGCGAACGGGUGAGUAACACGUGGGCAACCUGCCCAUAAGAGGGGGAUAACACUUGGAAACAGGUGCUAAUACCGCAUAACCAUAGUUACCGCAUGGUAACUAUGUAAAAGGUGGCUAUACUACCGCUUUUGGAUGGGCCCGCGGCGCAUUAGCUAGUUGGUAGGGUAAAGGCUUACCAAGGCAAUGAUGCGUAGCCGAAUUGAGAGGUUGAUCGGCCACAUUGGGACUGAGACACGGCCCAAACUCCUACGGGAGGCAGCAGUAGGGAAUCUUCCACAAUGGGCGAAAGCCUGAUGGAGCAACGCCGCGUGGGUGAAGAAGGUCUUCGGAUCGUAAAACCCUGUUGUUAGAGAAGAAAGUGCGUGAGAGUAACUGUUCACGUUUCGACGGUAUCUAACCGGAAAGCCACGGCUAACUACGUG